This 555-nucleotide ribosomal RNA is filed under the name uncultured bacterium. Its description in RNAcentral is "bacterial SSU rRNA". It matches the Rfam family "Bacterial small subunit ribosomal RNA", at positions 777 to 1329 of the family's 1533-position model. The record is from RNAcentral.
AAUAGAUACCCAGGUAGUCCACGCCGUAAACGAUGAGUGCUAGGUGUCACGGGCUUUGACCCUCGUGGUGCCGCAGCUAACGCAAUAAGCACUCCGCCUGGGGAGUACGGUCGCAAGACUAAAACUUAAAGGAAUUGACGGGGGCCCGCACAAGCGGUGGAGCAUGUGGUUUAAUUCGACGCGACGCGCAGAACCUUACCUGGGCUAGAAAACACAGGAACCUGGGUGAAAACUCGGGGUGCCUUUCGGGGAAUCUGUGGUUAGGUGUUGCAUGGCUGUCGUCAGCUCGUGUCGUGAGAUGUUGGGUUAAGUCCCGCAACGAGCGCAACCCUUGCCGUUAGUUGCCAGCCUUAAGUUGGGCACUCUAACGGGACUGCCGACCUUCAAGUCGGAGGAAGGUGGGGAUGACGUCAAGUCCUCAUGGCCCCUAUGUCCAGGGCUACACACGUGCUACAAUGGUCGGUACAAAGGGCUGCGAAACCGUGAGGUGGAGCCAAUCCCAAAAAACCGGCCUCAGUACGGAUUGGAGUCUGCAACUCGACUCCAUGAAGGCGG